UCCGUAGGUGAACCUGCGGAGGGAUCAUUACCGAGUUUACAACUCCCAAACCCCUGUGAACAUACCAAUUUGUUGCCUCGGCGGAUCAGCCCGCUCCCGGUAAAACGGAACGGCCCGCCAGAGGACCCCUAAACUCUGUUUCUAUAUGUAACUUCUGAGUAAAACCAUAAAUAAAUCAAAACUUUCAACAACGGAUCUCUUGGUUCUGGCAUCGAUGAAGAACGCAUCAAAAUGAGAUAAGUAAUGUGAAUUGCAGAAUUCAGUGAAUCAUCGAAUCUUUGAACGCACAUUGCGCCCGCCAGUAUUCUGGCGGGCAUGCCUGUUCGAGCGUCAUUUCAACCCUCAAGCCCCCGGGUUUGGUGUUGGGGAUCGGCGAGCCUCACGGCAAGCCGGCCCCGAAAUACAGUGGCGGUCUCGCUGCAGCUUCCAUUGCGUAGUAGUAAAACCCUCGCAACUGGUACGCGGCGCGGCCAAGCCGUUAAACCCCCAACUUCUGAAUGUUGACCUCGGAUCAGGUAGGAAUACCCGCUGAACUUAAGCAUAUCAAUAAGCGGAGGA
Molecule: ribosomal RNA, 558 nt
Filed under: Fusarium sp. Fs198TNW-So
Lineage: Eukaryota; Fungi; Ascomycota; Sordariomycetes; Hypocreales; Nectriaceae
Description: eukaryotic LSU rRNA
Rfam family: 5.8S ribosomal RNA (bases 180-333)
Source: RNAcentral